Molecule: ribosomal RNA, 489 nt
Filed under: uncultured bacterium
Lineage: Bacteria
Description: partial 16S ribosomal RNA
Rfam family: Bacterial small subunit ribosomal RNA
Source: RNAcentral
GACGAACGCUGGCGGCGUGCUUAACACAUGCAAGUCGAACGGUGAAGGGACCAGCUUGCUGGUUCUGGAUGAGUGGCGAACGGGUGAGUAACACGUGGGUAACCUGCCCCCUUCUUCUGGAUAACCGCAUGAAAGUGUGGCUAAUACGGGAUAUUCUGGGUCUGUCGCAUGGCGGGCCCGGGAAAGAUAUUGCUUCGGUGGGGGAUGGGCUCGCGGCCUAUCAGCUUGUUGGUGGGGUGAUGGCCUACCAAGGCGGUGACGGGUAGCCGGCCUGAGAGGGUGGACGGUCACACUGGGACUGAGACACGGCCCAGACUCCUACGGGAGGCAGCAGUGGGGAAUAUUGCACAAUGGGCGCAAGCCUGAUGCAGCGACGCCGCGUGAGGGAUGGAGGCCUUCGGGUUGUAAACCUCUUUCGCCAGUGAAGCAGGCCUGCUCCUUGUGGGUGGGUUGACGGUAGCUGGAUAAGAAGCGCCGGCUAACUACGUG